Long non-coding RNA from Esox lucius (northern pike), 2637 nucleotides. The record is from Ensembl. Lineage: Eukaryota; Metazoa; Chordata; Actinopteri; Esociformes; Esocidae.
CCGUACCUCAACCCACGUCUUUACCUUGCUGUACCUCAACCCACGUCUUUACCUUCCCGUACCUCAACCCACGUCUUUACCUUCCCGUACCUCAACCCACGUCUUUACCUUCCCGUACCUCAACCCACGUCUUUACAUUACCGUACCUCAACCCACGUCUUUACCUUCCCGUACCUCAACCCACGUCUUUACCUUGCUGUACCUCAACCCACGUCUUUACUUUCCCGUACCUCAACCCACGUCUUUACCUUCCCGUACCUCAACCCACGUCUUUACCUUCCCGUACCACAACCCACGUCUUUACCUUCCCGUACCUCAACCCACGUCUUUACCUUACCGUACCUCAACCCACGUCUAUACCUUCCCGUACCUCAACCCACGUCUUUACCUUCCAUUAACCUCAACCCACGUCUUUACCUUCCCGUACCUCAACCCACGUCUUUAACUUCCGUACCUCAACCCACGUCUUUAACUCCCAUACCUCAACCCACGUCUUUACCUUACCGUACCUCAACCCACGUCUUUACCUUCCCGGACCUCAACCACGCUUCAUCCCGCUGCACUACACACAAUACCACAACGUAUAAACGCAAUAUAUAGAUUGAACAAUCACCUUAUUUUCGUCUGAUACGGCCAAAGAAGCAAAAGUCUCAGCUUCAGGCAAUGUUUUAAUCGGUAAUUGUUGUUUUUGGGAAUUUGGAAUGGUGAAUGUUUUUGUUCUUUGUGUUCUAUUUCUAUGAUGUGCUGAAUGUCACAGGUGUCCCACCACAGCACCUGCUCACUGCCUUACAGAACUGGCACCACCAUUCCAAACCGGCGCGGUACAAGGGGUGCGCCCCACAAACUCUCCGUACGACAGGUCCGUAGAACCCAGGUCGGAAGCAGUUCCCACAUAGGGUUAGAUGGUUGCUUAGCCCGGCCACAAGACAGCAGGUUAACUUGGGGAGAAUGUGUCCCCUUCAACGCGCCCUCCUCCGUUCCAGAAUGACGCUAACCGCUGGGUCCACAAACGCACGACGGUUCAAAGUUCGCCCCCCCUGACUUCCCCGCCCCUCCGCUGUUAAUCUGUUAACGUGUCUCACUCAACAACCUCAUCGUCCCCAAGCACCUCGUCAGCCUCAUCAUCCAACUACCUCAUCCCUGCACCUCUUCAUCCUCAACACUAUAACACUUCAUCCUCUUACCCUCUGAUUUCUGAACAACCUCCACCUGCAUCCCCCUUUCCCCCUUUCUAGUCCACGCCAACCAUACAUACAGAAAGCUUUCCUGCGACAACGAAAAUAAAAAAUAUUUAAAUUCUAGAAUCCAGUGUAUCACAUGAUUUACACAUUCUAGAAUUGGAGUAGAGACCCCUCAAUUCCCAAACUCCCCCCUCAAACACCUUAAACAUACCCCCCCCCCCCCCCCCCCCCCCCCCCCCCCCCCCCCCCCCCCCCCCCCGGCUCUCCUCCCCUCUCUACCCCUCAUCCCCUGCCCCCUCCCUCUCAUCCCUACCAAUAUUGAUGUUCGGUGUCAAAUCACAAUAAGGGUCUAAAAUCACCACUGUCAUGUUUGGGUCUUUCUUCCUUUCUUUGUCUUUUGUUUUGGGAAACGGAACUGGAGACAUCUGAAAUUGGUGGAUUUCAACGGUCGAGAAUAAUGUAGCAACUCUGUCACCAUCUGUAGAUUGUUUUGUUGAAAACAAAAAAAAAAAAAAUGUAAAGGAAUUGGUUUGUUUGCCAUCAUGAAGACUUCUUUUAGCCUGGCGUACCGGACCUGAUUUGUGCGAACAUUCCACUCUCUCUUUACCAUUCUUUGGCAUGACAAGAAGUGGAUUGUUGGCCCAAACUUUCUGGCACCCAUGCUACUCUUGUUUGGCUGUUGUUGUUUCGUUUUUGUCGUGAUUCUUAGUAAUAGAACUGUUGUUUAUCACGCUGCACUGAGAGGCCUCGCACCAAACACACAAACUAGCACACACACAAACCACCAAACACACACACACACACAACCAGAAACGCCCAAAACUCAUGAAAACACACCGAGACAUACACACUGACAAACCUGUGACUAAUACCAACGACUAGUGUCAGAAUAGACAAUGUUUGCCAGAAUAAUCAGUCAUACAAUAGUGCACUACUUUUGACCCAGGUCUUUAGGGAAUUGGGUACCGUUGGGGAUUGUCUACAAAAAAAAUACGUCCCAAACCUCCCGUCCAAGCUCACUGGUAGGGAACCAUCUACACUCCCUAGUUCCCUGCUGUCUAGGAUGCACGCGCCAAACCGAUCGAUUCUAAGGGACGUGAGCGAGAGUCAAGCUGUGGGAGAGGCAGCGAUGUCAUAACGAAUCAGGUGCCAAAAUUCAAACACUGUCGUCACCUUUCUUCCCGAAACCGGUGGCAGAAGGUCCCGUGGCUGAGGGAACAUCAGCGUGUGUGGAGACUGGGAGGAUCGGAAGGGCCACUUCAGUGUAGUUAUGUUAUUGUUGAUAUUCACAUCUGGGUUUUAGUUUUGUAUCAUGUAGAAAUAGUUAUGAACUGGACGUUUUUUUUAUAUAUAUAUAUAUAUAUGUGUAUAUGAAUAUAAUGCUGUAAACUGCAUACAUGAAUUAAGAGAUUUCUCUUUCACAUCAGUACAAUAAAGAUGGAACGGAAACAUUAAA